This 253-nucleotide ribosomal RNA is filed under the name uncultured bacterium. RNAcentral describes it as "partial 16S ribosomal RNA". It matches the Rfam family "Bacterial small subunit ribosomal RNA", at positions 524 to 776 of the family's 1533-position model. The record is from RNAcentral. RNAcentral also lists the same sequence under 1 other name.
UACGUAGGGUGCGAGCGUUGUCCGGAAUUAUUGGGCGUAAAGAGCUCGUAGGCGGCCUGUCACGUCGGAUGUGAAAACCCGGGGCUCAACCCCGGGCCUGCAUCCGAUACGGGCAGGCUAGAGUGUGGUAGGGGAGAUCGGAAUUCCUGGUGUAGCGGUGAAAUGCGCAGAUAUCAGGAGGAACACCGGUGGCGAAGGCGGAUCUCUGGGCCAUUACUGACGCUGAGGAGCGAAAGCGUGGGGAGCGAACAGG